RNAcentral lists this ribosomal RNA (465 nucleotides) under Vreelandella stevensii. Its description in RNAcentral is "partial 16S ribosomal RNA". It matches the Rfam family "Bacterial small subunit ribosomal RNA", at positions 338 to 795 of the family's 1533-position model. Lineage: Bacteria; Pseudomonadati; Pseudomonadota; Gammaproteobacteria; Oceanospirillales; Halomonadaceae. The record is from RNAcentral.
CCUACGGGAGGCAGCAGUGGGGAAUAUUGGACAAUGGGGGGAACCCUGAUCCAGCCAUGCCGCGUGUGUGAAGAAGGCCCUCGGGUUGUAAAGCACUUUCAGUGAGGAAGAACGCCUGGUGGUUAAUACCCAUCAGGAAAGACAUCACUCACAGAAGAAGCACCGGCUAACUCCGUGCCAGCAGCCGCGGUAAUACGGAGGGUGCGAGCGUUAAUCGGAAUUACUGGGCGUAAAGCGCGCGUAGGUGGCUUGAUAAGCCGGUUGUGAAAGCCCCGGGCUCAACCCGGGAACGGCAUCCGGAACUGUCAAGCUAGAGUGCAGGAGAGGAAGGUAGAAUUCCCGGUGUAGCGGUGAAAUGCGUAGAGAUCGGGAGGAAUACCAGUGGCGAAGGCGGCCUUCUGGACUGACACUGACACUGAGGUGCGAAAGCGUGGGUAGCAAACAGGAUUAGAUACCCCGGUAGUC